GAUGAACGCUGGCGGCGUGCCUAAUACAUGCAAGUCGAACGCUGAUGGAGUUGCUUUCUUUUCUGGAUGAGUUGCGAACGGGUGAGUAACGCGUAGGUAACCUGCCUGGUAGCGUGGGAUAACUUUUGGAAACUAUAGCUAAUACCGCAUGACAACACCUACUGCAUGAUAAUUGUUUAAAAGUGGCAGCUGCUCCGCUUCCAGUUGCACCUGCUUUGCUUUGGCUAGUGGGUGAGGUACCGCCUCACCAAGGCGGUGAUCCUUAGCCGACGGGAGAGGUUGAGCGGCCAGACUGGGACGGAGACACGGCCCAGACGGCUACAGGAGGGAGCAGUAGGGAAACUGCGGCAAGGGGCGGAAGGCUGAGCGAGCAACGCCGCGUGAGUGAAGAAGGUUGUCGGAUCGGAAAGGUCUGUUGUAAGAGAAGAAAGAGUGUGAGAGUGGAAAGUUGACACUGUGACGGUAUCUGAUCAGAAAGGGACGGCUAACUACGUG
RNAcentral lists this ribosomal RNA (495 nucleotides) under uncultured bacterium. RNAcentral describes it as "partial 16S ribosomal RNA". It matches the Rfam family "Bacterial small subunit ribosomal RNA", at positions 28 to 507 of the family's 1533-position model. The record is from RNAcentral.